This 253-nucleotide ribosomal RNA is filed under the name uncultured bacterium. RNAcentral describes it as "partial 16S ribosomal RNA". It matches the Rfam family "Bacterial small subunit ribosomal RNA", at positions 524 to 776 of the family's 1533-position model. The record is from RNAcentral.
UACGUAGGGGACAAGCGUUGUCCGGAUUUACUGGGCGUAAAGAGCGCGCAGGCGGUCGAUCAAGUCGGGUGUGAAAGCCCCCGGCUCAACUGGGGAGGGUCAUUCGAUACUGAUCGACUCGAAGGCAGGAGAGGGUAGUGGAAUUCCCGGUGUAGUGGUGAAAUGCGUAGAUAUCGGGAGGAACACCAGUGGCGAAGGCGACUACCUGGCCUGUUCUUGACGCUGAGGCGCGAAAGCUAGGGGAGCAAACGGG